UCCCUCUCAAAAAAGUUUUGUUUUCACUUCAGUUUUUGUAAUUCUGUGGAUUGGCUCCGCCAUAGUCACUGUAAAUUCUCAACUUUUAGGAGGGACUCUUUCUUUCUUUCAAAGUUUAUGCUUACUUGGAUACUGCAAUUUUCCUUUAAUAACUGCUGCAGUUAGUAAUAGAUUGAUAACUUUUUUUCUUCAAGGAAGUGCUUAUAUUAUAAUAAAAGUUCUUCUUG
Long non-coding RNA from Zophobas morio, 227 nucleotides. RefSeq lists it as uncharacterized. NCBI's taxonomy places the organism in Eukaryota, Metazoa, Arthropoda, Insecta, Coleoptera, Tenebrionidae. The transcript is spliced from 3 exons. The record is from RefSeq and is a predicted model, not a curated record.